UAAACUCGAAUUUGUAUGGAGUUUGAAUAGCUUCCCGUCGUCUGCCGCUAGGGGCGCUGUUCCAACUCCAUACAAAUUGGAGUUA
Bombyx mori (domestic silkworm) is the source of this 85-nucleotide non-coding RNA. Lineage: Eukaryota; Metazoa; Arthropoda; Insecta; Lepidoptera; Bombycidae. The record is from Rfam.